UUUUUUAGAAUAAUACAACAACAGUUCUAAGUAUUUAUGUUAUCAUUCGAUGUGAUUUUCGAUUUGUCAUAAAAAUGAAGAAGACUUCAUAAAAUUUUACUUACUUGUUUUAACAUCGCUCAUGUAAUUGUUAAGCACGUGGAAGAGAACCAGAGACAAGAGCGAUAUGGAAAGGAAAUAGUUGACCAAUGCGAGAUUGCUUAACUGGCAGUCGAAGGUGAAUAUUGCUGUAUUGCAGCAUAAUGGAAGUGGAGUACAAGCGGCUGUUCAGUUUAUUACUUUUACCAACGCGGUUAUUGGAAAAUAUAAUCGAUGUGGUAUUUUUACCCCGAUCCCGGGAAAAUAUUUUUUUCUUGGGGGGCGGUCCAGGGACCUCAGACCCCGAAAGUCCGGGAUAAAGACCACGCCUGGACCCGGAUCCACUUACCCGAUAUAGACAAUAUGGGUAUCGAUUGAAAGCUUAUGGAAAUACCUAUACCAAGUGGUCACAAAUUAAAGCUGACACUCUUACCUUUCCAAAAUGCUACAAUAUGUGCUAAUACCUUUUUCGGGUCCAGAGAUAUGAGUCUUUCCAUCCACAUAACCCGAUUCUAACCAGUUCAUUAAAAUGAUGUUUUCAAUAAAAAAGGGUUUUUUUCGCGUAGCAGUCGUCGGAAUAACAAAAGUUUUCUAAAUUUGGCAUUUUUUGUAAAUAGCCGGCAUUCGGCCGGUGCUUGAGAUUUUCUCCUCUCGGUAUGUCCGACUCCGACUAACGCGAACAAAAGUUUUCUAAAUUCGGCACUUUUUGUAAAUAGGGCUUGAGAUUUUCUCCUCUGAGUAUGUCCCACACCGGCUAACGCGAACUAAAGUUUUCUAAAUUGGAUACCUUUUGUAAGUAGCCGGCCUUCGGCAGGGGCUUGAGAUUUUCUCCUCUGGGUAUGUCAUACACCGGCUAACGCGAACCAAAGUUUUCUAAAUUUGACAAUUUUUGUAAAUAGCCGGCCUUUGGCCGGGGCUUGAGAUAUUCUCCUCUGGAUAUGUCCCACACCGGCUAACGCAAACCAAAGUUUUCUAAAUUGGAUACCUUUUGUAAGUAGCCGUCCUUUGGCCGGGGCUUGAAAUUUUCUCCUCUGGAUAUGUCCUACACCGGCUAACGCGAACCAAAGUUUUCUAAAUUGGAUACCUUUUGUAAGUAGCCGGCCUUCGGCCGGGGCUCAGAUUUUCUCCUCUGGGUAUGUCUUAAACCGGUUAACGCGAACCAAACUUUUCUAAAUUUGACACAUUUUGUAAAUAGCCGGCCUUCGGCCGGAGCUUGGGAUUUUCUCCUCUGAGUAUGUCCAACACCGGCUAACGCAAACCAAAGAUUUCUGAAUCUGAUGCUUGCGCGAAAUAUACCUUUUUUAUUGAAAACUUAGUUUUAAUGAACUAGUUACAAUCGGGUUAUGCGGAUGGAAAGACCCAUAUCUCUGGACUCAGUAAAGGUAUUAGCACAAAUUGGAGCAUUUUGGAAAAAAUGAAAAGAAUACACAAAAAAGAAUUUUGCACAAAAAUGUAAUGCUGUUUAAUCAAUUAAUCAUUAUUUAAUAUUUUAGGGGCAAGCAAAGGAAUUCGGUCCGAAGCAUUUCGUAAAUUCCUCCGGCGUAUUUUUUCAGUAUUUUGUUCAUUACAUUGCGACUCAUUUACAGAAACAAUCGAAACUCCAGGCAUUGCAUAAAAAAAAUUAACGAAAUGAACUUUCUCUUUGCAGAAAAAACUCUCAUUAACUGAAUAUUUUUCACAAGUUACACUUCUACAAUGUUUUCUAAUCAUGUGUUUUUUUAUUCCUUAUUCAUCCGUUUUUUCAUUCCCCUAAUGUUACAAUAUUGAAUAUAUAAUGUUGCCAUAUAUAUGUACACUGAAUUUGUAGUUCCCCAAAUCGUACGAAAUCUGAAGAAGCUAAAACAAAAACGUACGGUUUUGAAUUGCGAAAUUUCGAUACGAUUUUGUGACAUGCCUGUAUAUAUGACUUUACCCGUAAAUGUAAAAAUGUAAACCAUUGUUAAUAAAACAUAUGAAAACGUAAAUAAAUGUUUUGAAAGAAUGAGGAUUUUUCCAUCCAUUGUAGUUUUAAAACGUGAAUUACAGCAUUACCUAAAAUUUGACGUGGCUAACACGUUUUUUUGUACACGUUUUUACUGGAAGCUGUUAGUUUACACCAGCACUGAUACGAAUCGUGUGCUAACACAUGAUUCCAAAAAAGAAAUUAUUGAAGAGUAAAUAAAAAUUAUUUUUAUACCCUCCACCUGGGAAGGGAGGGUAUAUUAACUUUGUCAUUCCGUUUGUAACAUCCUUAAAUAUUCGUCGUAGACCCCAUAAAGUAUAUAUAUUCAUAAUCAGCAUAAAAUUCUAAGUCGAUUUAACGAUUUCCGUCUGUCUGUCUGUCCGUCUGUCUGUCUGUUGAAAUCACGAUACAGUCCACAUUAUUUGACGUAGAGCGCCAAAAUUUAGCAGAGCAAUUUGUAUUAUGUCUAGGAUGGUUGGUAUUGAGAUAUAUCGGUCCACGUUCUGGUAUAGUCCCCAUAUAACGGUACCUCCCGAUAUUCGGUAUUUUGAUGAUUUAUGCCACAUUUUUUCACGGAUUUGUCUGAAAAUUGGUAUUUGUAGGUCAUGACGGGUUCCAGUUCCGGUGGCGGAACAUUGCAUGUAUGGGUCCAUGAUUUGGUAUAGCCCCCAUAUAACGGUACUUCCCGAUUUUCGGCAUUUUAAUGGUUUUUGCCACAUUUCUUUUAAUGUUUCCUUUACCCUAAGGUGGAGGGUAUUAAAAGUUUGGCCCGGCCGAACUUAAUGUUUUUUUACUUGUUUACUUUAUAUUUAUCCAUUCAUUUCAAUUGGUUGUUGUCCAAAAUUAUUAAUAUAGCGGUUUUUGAUGACUUAAAUUUUAAAAAUAAGUAAGAGAAAUUGGACUGGUUUACACUAAAGUCCAGCUAGUGAGAGCGAAAUGAGAGAGACAUUUUGACACAUGACUCUUAUUAGUUCGUUCCCAGGCCUACAUAAGGUCGACCAAGACGACUAUUUUCAGCGCUGCUCAAAAACAAGUCAGUGUUAUAACAUUAUAUAUAUAUUUUUAUAGUUAAUUAUUAGCCUUAUUAAGACUUUGGAAAAACUUCAUAUCUUAUUAUUUUUAAGAACAAUAUUUUUUACAAUAUAUGCAAAAAAUGUCAAUGUCCUGUCUUUCAAUUCUAAUUAAACGUUCAGUGAAUAAUUACAAAAACGCGGCGAUCUUAAAAUAUUAUUCUUUUAGAUAUGUUCAAUACAAAUAAAUCAAAUUUGCAAAUUUGUAAAAACAAUAUUUAAGUGUACAUUGCGGAAAUAUAUGUACAUUUAAACAUUUAAAGAGAUUAACAGUUCGGAAAAGACUGAAGUUCUUACUGGUGCUGUUAUAUUUUUAAUUUUUUACAUUUUCCUUUUUAUUUUCUAAAUACAAUAUAUUUUUUGUGUAUUUAACUUGUUAAAUUAAUUAAAUUUGUACAUUAAAAAUACA
Molecule: RNA transcript, 3499 nt
Organism: Musca domestica (house fly)
Lineage: Eukaryota; Metazoa; Arthropoda; Insecta; Diptera; Muscidae
Gene name: serine/arginine-rich splicing factor 6-like
Exons: 3
Source: RefSeq, a predicted model, not a curated record